Long non-coding RNA from Hylaeus volcanicus, 1417 nucleotides. RefSeq lists it as uncharacterized. The record is from RefSeq and is a predicted model, not a curated record. NCBI's taxonomy places the organism in Eukaryota, Metazoa, Arthropoda, Insecta, Hymenoptera, Colletidae. The transcript has 3 exons.
GUCGCACGAAGCGCGAGAUUAGUCCGAGCGAGCUAAAAUUCGAGCAUAGUUGUAUACCGAGUACUUAGUAGUAUUAUACAAAGGCGAUUCGAACAACGCACAUAAUCGAGAGCAGCGUAUUUCUCGAUUCAUUUGUAAGAGAUUCUAAGUGGUAACGCUUCGUAAUGGCUGGUGGUGGUUUGAAGAGCACUUGAGGUUCGUGGAUGGUCACCAGCUUGACUGUGCACGUGGUUCUCCACGCUAAUCACCGGCGAUGAUGUCGACAAGUGUACGAAGAGCUUUUCAACAGCGACCUUCGACCUCUCCAACGCCUCGAGAUCGUGAAAACACUUUCAAGUUGAAGGAGUCGUCGAUGAGGGACGAGACACGUUCGCCAGGAUUUCAAUUUCUACGCGCAGUGGGUCGCGAAAGUAUUCGUACUCUCUCAGUUACUGUCUGCAGAGUGAUAUCCUCCAAAUAAGUUCAAUGUUAUCAGGCUCAUAUUCAUAAAAUAUAUUUGGUAAUAACAAAACUUUAGAUUGAAUAGCUGUCAAAAUUCGGUGAAAAUCGGGUGUCUUAUGUAUCUGUGCUUAAUUAUGAAGAAUUUUCCAUUAAACCAUUUGAUAUUUAAUUUAAUAUUUCGAAUAAUCAUAAUAUUGUGUCAUUAUAUACGAAUAAAAUUUGUCACUUGACUGGAGUUACAAGUAAUUUUCACAUAAACUAUUUAAUCUAUAAUUUAUUAUUUCUGAGAAUAUUUUGAAAUUAUUUAAAAAGUAAGAAUGCCACUUCAGUGUUUUUACGAGCGAUCAUCACAUAGUUACAACAGAGAAUAGACAACUAAACUAAGAAAAUAACACAUCUUUCCCAUGAACACACUGUCCCUGAAAAAAUAUUUCACAGUCAAUUUGAAGUAUUGUCAUUUAUGCAAGGAGCUUAAAUUGAUUUACCAACGAAAUGAAGAGUUCUCCGAAAGAAGCUUUAGAGUUUUAUUUUUUGACAUCAAAAUAAGCCUACCAAGUUCACUUUUAUCUAAAAGAAAAAAAAAUCCACACAAUUUCAGUUUGAUUAAAAACCAAAAUCCUAAAACCCCUAUUGGAAAAGCCAUUUCUUUCGUCAACCGUUUCUAAACGAAGCAGAAUGUUUAUUUCAACGAAUGAAACUCACUUACUCGCUCGUUACAUUUCUUUUAUCUCUUGUUGCUUUAACCUUUCCUUCGGUAAUUCUCGUUUAAUAUUUUUAUGCACGAGGCUCCAGGGAACUUCCACGUUCCUCACGAUAAUCUCUGAUUCUACGUGGAACUUUGAAAUUCUAUGGAAUCUCUUUUUCGGCGUGGUUGUAUACUGCCUGUCACGGAAUUAAUUCAGGCAUUGGACGUCCAGAAAAAAUUUAAUUUCGGAUUAUCGACUGCAACGUUUCCCCAUAUAUCGAAUUGCAUGAC